CUUUAAAAAAUAAAAUAGGGUACAGGAAAUACAAUCCAGGUAUUAGUCCAAAAAAUGUACGGGCAUGGAUUUACCCUCUGUACACUUUCAUUCUCUUGUUCUCCCUUGCCCACCCCAUUGCAGGGAGAGGGGUCAAGAAAGGGGAGAAACUGAUGGAGAAGAAAAUCUGGGGCUUCCCCAUUAUUAUUUGCACUUGCUGAUAGAGACUACUGAUUUUGGGGGGAAGAUUUCUGAGAAAUCAGGUGAGAGCACAGCAUCCUAGGAUGUAGUUGGAGCUUCAGAUUUUAGCGCCCCGCCCCCUACUUCUUACAAUACCUUUCCUGGCAGCUUUGGUGCCAUUCCCAGACUAGUUAGUUCCUUUUACAUCCGUUACCUAGAUCUAAUUUCUUCUGAUCAUUCGCUUGUUACAUAUUUUGGGGGAGGGUGUUGGGGGCCGGCGGUGCCGCAGACCAGUUGCCAGUAUGUGUGGACUCCUCUGUUUCGGUCCCCUUACUAAACGCGGUGUUAGAAGUCGAGCUCGGGGCGUUAUCAGAGCCAGCCACAAAUGCCACAUGAAAAGCAGCAAACAUCCGGAGUGGCUUCCUGCAAGCCUUGCUUUUCUCAACACGAGAGAUUUACGCGGGGGAGUAGGGGGGACAAACAGUUAUGCGAGUAAGAGCCAUGUACACCCGCUGGUGUAGCCGACCUGGUGCGUUGGCAUUGUACACUCCAGGAUCUCUGGGCUCCUGGCUACUCGUUGCCCUCACGGUUCCCAAGCCAGACUCGAGGCUUGGUGAGGAAGCGACUAGCGCAGCAAACUAGCUGUACGGAUUGCACCGGGGCCUUUGGCCAGAGGGAAUUCACCCGGAAAUGCAGAUGAGAGACUGUAGACCAGCCUACGGAUCCAACCAGUCAGCCAGCCCAGGUAGUCUUCCCACCAGGAUACAGCUGCACCACUGCAGAGCAAACUGUCUUGCAGAUGCUCUUUGGAGUGGCUAAAGACAGAGAGGGAGGGUUUCUCUGGGCACAAAAUAUCAUCUCCAGAAAGGUGCCAGCCUGGGAUUUAUGUGUUACUCCUUAACACAACCCAAGGAGAAAGGAAAAACAGCUUUACUUCAGUACUGAAAACUGUCCGGAAACCUGGAGGAGAAAUGCCGCAUGUCACUGUGAGGAAACACAAAACAGGAGGCAACGUGUUUGUGUUGGGCAGAUGGGAAAUGGCUUUCGGUAUUUCCAUAGGUGAUUAUAACAUCAUUAAGGAAAUGUGAGAAAGCCGUUAGUAUUACAUGAAUGCCUGCCAGUCUGUCUGUUUUAAGUCUCAUUCUAAUGGAUUAAACUACAGCUGCAUGUGUAAUUUUUCAAAGUAUGCAUAAAUGAUAUUUUACAUUGCAAAUUCACUAUUAAUCUAAAUAUGUGAUCACUCUUAAAUAUGCCAUUCCUGAAUUACCUAUAAAAUUAAGAUUAAAAUAAUAAAUAGAUGCAAUACCAAUAUUUUAAAGAAAAGAGCUCCACCAUUAUUAAUAGUAAUCACACAAAUCUAAGCCCUUGUAAUAGUCAGUAUGGUUUGUCAGUAUCUAUUUGGCUAGUCCACUGUAUGGAGGAUGUGUGCUGACUUGUGAGCCUAGGAUGCUAGGAAAAUAAGGAAGCUCAGGGCUUCCUUUUUUCGGAGAGAUCUGUGUAAGCACUAUCUGUGGGGAACUCUUGGCUGCUAAGCAAAUCACUCUGUUGUAUGUAUAGCUUUGUUGAUUUACAUGGUUCUCUAAAAGGCACACCCAGGGUUUUGUUUCAAAUGAAGAAUGUUCACAGACAACUGUCUAAUAAAGCUGAAAUGUUGUCGGGGAUGGAGAGAAAGGGAAGGUCUUUGGAUGGUUAGGUCAUUCUUGACCUCGGGGUCUUCUGUCUCAGCCUGAUUUGAAGAUUGGACCCUCCUUCUCAGUUCAGCUAAUGAAGGUGUGGAACACUGAUUGGAAGGGGGUAACUCCUAUCUCUAGUUUUAUAGAGAAAAGUGGUUCUUACUCCUGAGUGGGUCUGUAGGUUCAAGGAGCAGGCUUGUUUGCAGCCCCCAGAAGAUCAUGGGUUUUAUUUUUAUAAAGAUCUCUUAGGGACACACUGAAAAAUCCAACUUUGCAGCAGGUGAGGGACCCAGCUGGAAUCUUAAAUGUGUGCAGAACCCCAGCAGCAGAAGAACUGUUGAAAGGACCAUGUCUUUGCAGAUGAGUGAUGACACAUGACCCCUUCAGUUGCUAAGUUGUUUUGGGCUCUCUUAAAUAAAAAGGAGCUCCAUCUAGCAUUUUCUAUAACAGCUAGCACAUGGUGGUGUUCAGUGAGUGCCAGGCCUAGUUAUAAGUGCUUUAGCUUGCUUAAUUCUCACAGAAACCCUCUGAAAGAGGCCAGAGAGACAUGGCACAGCUGGAGGAGGAACCCAGGCAGUCUUUGCUCUUAACUGCCAAGCUAAACUGCCUGUGUUCAACUAUCCUACUCCAUGCCUACCCACUUUCUUUCCCCUCUUAGACCAUUUGCAAACAUAAGAUUGUUCAACAGCCUGUUCUAACGUGGGAGCCAUACCAAUUCUCUUAAACCCUAUUUGCUGAUGUAUCUAAAAAUAUGUCUUGGACUAUGGAAAAUGCCAAGGUACAGUCCUUUCAAUGGACAGAGAAGCAGGUGAUGCAAUGUGACAAAGAUUAUGCUUGAGUUGGGAAAGCUGAAUUCCAAUCUUGGCUCUUCUCCAGACCGGCUGUGUGAUCAGGAGUGGCUGCCCAUCUCUGCCCUUCAGUUUCCUGAGGCAUCAAAUGAAGAGCUCACCUAAAAGGUCUCUCCACUCCCUUCAGGCUCAAACACUCUGUAAUUCCAUGAUACAAGGUUUGAGAGAUUUGAUGAAAUGUUAAAGAAAGCAGCUAGCAGUUAAGGAAGAAUGUUAACCUAAUCACCAAAUUUAACAGAAGUGUUAUGUUUCUCCCUCCGUUUCCUGCCCACAAAUCCAUCUCCCCUAUGAUGGGCAACCAUAGGGCAGAUCUGAUGCAACCUUAUUUGAGAGAAAGUACUUGUUUCUAAAUGCUUAGUUAAUAGUUUGGUGUUUGAAGAGGGUUAAUAAAAAAGAUGGAGACCAAUAAUGCUGACAUGGAUAUAUACACACAGAUUUCUCUGUAGGCAGGCCUAAUAAUAAGUAGGAAAGUAUUUUGAACAUAAAGGUAAUUAAUAAUCAUGCCUUUGCAGAAUAUUUAGUUUCUUAUAUAGUCCGCUGAUUUAAAAAUGAUUAGAUGGAGCAUUGUCUUUCAAAGUCAGGCAAGUAUCACUAAUGGGUUUAAUAAGAAAGCAUAGUUUACUUUUAAAAUGUUGUAAUACUUUUUUCAACUUUUGGAUCUACUUUAUUCAAUAUGUAGCUUAUUACUAAACAAAUAAAAGUUCCAGUUGUGGAGAAAGCCUUAAUUUUCAAAAAUGAGGGAUUUGUAAGUUCAACCCUUUUGUUUUGCUACAAUUUUUAAACUGAUUAAAUUUAUAGCUCUGUUGCUCUUUAGCCAAAGCAAUUACUAAUUGUAGUCUUGAUCUCUUAAAAUAUUUUUUGAACAAGAGUUAUUUCUGAGUAUUAAAAUUUGGCAUAGGAUCUUACUAUGUAAACAUACCAGAUAGAAGAAAUUGAAUAUACCAACUGGGGUUCUAUAGCACCUCAUCAAUAUCUUAAAACCAAGCUCACAAUUAUUGGAACUAUUUCAUCAAACAAUUGGAGUGUGAGCUGCAUUUAUUCCUACAAUGGUAUGUAUAUCCAGAAAAGACAGUUUCCUAUUCUAAUAUGGAGGCUUUGCCCUUUUGACCCAGAAGUACCUUUCAGAGAAAACCUAAAUGGACAUGAGAGUCAGGGUGAACACAUACUUCAGAGACAAUAUAAAGAAGCCGGCAUGAGCUUGAGCUCUGAAAAGAAUUGUGAAGCUGCAUCCUGUCAGAGUUUCCUCUUAUUCCUGUAUUUCUUUUUCCCUGUACCUCCUUAUUGGCAGCAAAUUGACUAUUCUUUGGUACUGUUUCUGUACAUUCCUUCCCACAAUCUUUUCUCUUUUUAUUUUUCUAUCUUCCUUAUCUCCCUUGCAGUACCUUUCUUUCCAAGUAACUCACCUGGUUUUUCUUUUCUUUCCCCCUGAGUUCUCUCAUCACAGCAUCUGUUUUUCCCUUUAACUCCUUCUCCACAUUGCUAAUCUAUGAGAAGCAGCAAACCACAAAACUACAGGGAGCAGUCCUUGAUCCCUCAGCAAGAGAAAAAUUUCAUUUUUUCUGUGUGAUCAGAUUUAUUUAUUUUAUGUCUGUUUUUUCCAUAAAAGAAUCAAUUCAGUAUUCAUUCACAUCUUGAAUUAACUAUGAAGAGAAAUGGAUUUCUCUGUUGUUGGUUCAAUGAGAAAGCAAGGGAGCACUGUUUUGAUGUUUUCCCGACUCAACUAAUCCAGUUGCACACCUGUUAGUGAGCUUGAAAACCUGCCAGGUGCAGAGGAUACAUAACCCCAUACUAACACUCUAGAGGAGAAAUGGAAAAGUAAACAAAUACCUACAAUACAGUUAAAUGUGAUAAAGGCUAAUUCAGAUGGAUUUCUUAGUUUGCAAGAUGAAGUAAGCAAAUGUGCCUUGGCCUGAAAGAAAAAGAAAAUCGUAGAAGGGACAAGACUUUUUAAGAAGAAUCCUGAGAAAAAAAACAAUAAGAGAGAGAUCCACAAGAUGGGUUCUGCUAAUAGAGAGGAUAUGGACACUCUAGACAGAAAGCACCAUCUGAGCAAAUGAACAGUUUCACCACAAGCAAGGCUAAGAGACAGGGUAUGGAUUUGGAAUGGUAAGAGAUACAGCUGGAAAGGUUAGUAGGGCCAGACAAUGAAGGACUUCAUCUGCUAUAGCUUGGUUAAGAAGCAUGAAAGUAUCACUAAAAAUAGUUUAUAUACCAAAAAAUUGGACAACCUAGAAGAAAUGGAUAGUUCCUGGAAACAUACAGUCUUCCAAGGCCAAGUCAGAAAAAAAUAGAAAAUCUGAAAAGACCAGUUACUAGUAAUGAAAUUGAAUCAGUAAUCAAGAACUCCCAAAAAACAAAAUAACAGGACCAGAUGGCUUCAUGGUGAAUUCUAUCAAACAUUUAAAGAUUAAAUACCUAUCCUUCUCAAACUAUUCCAAAAAAUUGAAGAGGAAGUAAUGCUUCUAAAUUCAUUCUGCAAGACGAGUAUUACCUUGAUAAUACCAAAACCAGACAAAGAUAUUGCAAAAACAGAAAAGUAUAGGCCAAUAUUCCUGAUAAACUUAGAUGCGAAAAUUCUCAACAAAAUAUUAGCAAGCUAAAUUCAACAAUACAUUAAAAGAACUAUAUUCCAUGAUCAAGUAGGAUUUAAUCCAUGUAUACAUGGAUUAAAUAUCCACAGAUCAAACAAUGUGGUACACCACAUUAACAAAAUGAAGAUAAAAAACACGAACAUCUCCAUAGAUGCAGAAAAAGCAUCUAACCAAAUUCAACAUCCACUUAUGAUAAACACUCUCAACAAAACGGGUAUA
This is a long non-coding RNA of Manis javanica (Malayan pangolin), 5490 nucleotides long. RefSeq lists it as uncharacterized. Lineage: Eukaryota; Metazoa; Chordata; Mammalia; Pholidota; Manidae. The record is from RefSeq and is a predicted model, not a curated record.